GACGAACGCUGGCGGCGUGCUUAACACAUGCAAGUCGAACGGAAAGGCCCUGCUUUUGUGGGGUGCUCGAGUGGCGAACGGGUGAGUAACACGUGAGUAACCUGCCCUUGACUUUGGGAUAACUUCAGGAAACUGGGGCUAAUACCGGAUAGGAGCUCCUGCUGCAUGGUGGGGGUUGGAAAGUUUCGGCGGUUGGGGCUGGACUCGCGGCUUAUCAGCUUGUUGGUGGGGUAGUGGCUUACCAAGGCUUUGACGGGUAGCCGGCCUGAGAGGGUGACCGGCAACAAUGGGACUGAGAUACGGCCCAGACUCCUACGGGAGGCAGCAGUGGGGAAUAUUGCACAAUAGGCGGAAGCCUGAUGCAGCAGCGCCGGGUGCGGGAUGACGGCCUUCGGGUUGUAAACCGCUUUCGCCUGUGACGAGGCGUGAGUGACGGUAAUGGGUAAAGAAGCACCGGCUAACUACGUG
Molecule: ribosomal RNA, 468 nt
Filed under: uncultured bacterium
Lineage: Bacteria
Description: partial 16S ribosomal RNA
Rfam family: Bacterial small subunit ribosomal RNA
Source: RNAcentral